This is a small nucleolar RNA of Cebus imitator (Panamanian white-faced capuchin), 104 nucleotides long. RefSeq annotates it as small nucleolar RNA U13. Lineage: Eukaryota; Metazoa; Chordata; Mammalia; Primates; Cebidae. The record is from RefSeq and is a predicted model, not a curated record. The transcript has a single exon.
AUCCUUUUGUAGUUCAUAGGUGUGAUUGUUGGGUUUUCGUGAUCAUUUGUGAGAUGUACCUCUUUUAAACCAUGUUACAACAUGGGCACAUUACCUGUCUGAUG